RNAcentral lists this ribosomal RNA (322 nucleotides) under uncultured eukaryote. RNAcentral's name for it is "partial 18S ribosomal RNA". It matches the Rfam family "Eukaryotic small subunit ribosomal RNA", at positions 1470 to 1796 of the family's 1831-position model. The record is from RNAcentral.
CCCUUAGAUAUUCUGGGCCGCACGCGUGCUACACUGAGUGGAUCAGCGGGUCAGGUUGCGCGAAAGUGUUUCCUAAUCUUUAAAUCCGCUCGUGAUGGGGAUUGACGGUUGCAAUUUUCCGUCAUGAACGAGGAAUACCUUGUAAGCGCGGGUCAUCAUCCCGCGCUGAAUACGUCCCUGCCCUUUGUACACACCGCCCGUCGCUCCUACCGAUUGAGUGGUCCGGUGAGGCUUUGGGAUCUGAGCGGAAAGAGCGUUUCGCUGUUUCUGCCCGGAAAACUCAGUCGAACCUUAUCAUUUAGAGGAAGGAGAAGUCGUAACA